UGAAAAGACGUCAACCAGAAGAACCGGCUUGUAGUUGACCUUCAACUGAUGCGUGGCCGCGAGGUCCUGAAACAGCGCAUGCCCGAUGUAAGCCCAUGGCGACUGGAUGGAAAAAUAGUAGUCAAUCUGGCGCGCCAUCGGCCCUCCCGGCUGCAUGAUUUCGGCAAGCUCCGGUCAUAUCACAACAAGUAAAACCAUGCCGGCAAACACACGAUUGCGCAUUUCAUUUAUC
RNAcentral lists this unclassified non-coding RNA (232 nucleotides) under Hevea brasiliensis (rubber tree). Lineage: Eukaryota; Viridiplantae; Streptophyta; Magnoliopsida; Malpighiales; Euphorbiaceae. The record is from RNAcentral.